UUAAGGUUGGUAUAAAAUGAAGUGAGAGAGGGUUGAAGCUGGGAAUUAAGCUUGAUUUAUAGAGGUGGAAUUUGCAUAAAAAAAGAUUGAUUAAAUGUUUCCAGUAUUCUUGAUCUUCGAAAAUUGGAUAAGAGACCGGGAUUAGAUACCCCGUUAUUUUUACUGUAAAUUUUGGGUCACCUACCUGAGUAUUACGAGUUAGGUAGUUAAAACUCAUAAAAAUUAUGGGUUUUAGUGCUUUUUUGCUUAAAACUCAAAAAACUUGGCGGUAUUUUAUUUCUUUCCAGGGGAACCUGUCCUGUAAUCGAUGGUCCACGAUUUAGCUUACUUUCUUUUGAAAAGUGUGGGUUAGUUCACAGAGCAGCCUGUAUACCGUCGUCGUCAGAUAACCUUUAAGAGGGAAGAAGUUAUCGGUAAAAUGGGGAUUAGAUUAGCUUAAGUUGUGAAUUUAAGGUGAUUUAUUUACGUUUUGAUGUCAGAUCAAGGUGCAGUUUAUGAGAGAGGAGAGAUGGGUUACAUUAUAAAAUUAAUUUGGAUCUCAUAAUGUAAUUUUUGAGUGAAAUUGGACUUGGAAGUAAUGUGUUAAUUAUGAUAUGUAAAUAGGUAGUAGACGUGAAUGUUGUACUAAAAUGUGC
Molecule: ribosomal RNA, 635 nt
Filed under: Pseudostomatella decolorata
Lineage: Eukaryota; Metazoa; Mollusca; Gastropoda; Trochida; Trochidae
Description: partial 12S rRNA
Rfam family: Bacterial small subunit ribosomal RNA
Source: RNAcentral